UACGGAGGGUGCAAGCGUUAUCCGGAUUCACUGGGUUUAAAGGGUGCGUAGGCGGGCAGGUAAGUCAGUGGUGAAAUCCCCGAGCUUAACUUGGGAACUGCCGUUGAUACUAUCUGUCUUGAAUACUGUGGAGGUAAGCGGAAUAUGUCAUGUAGCGGUGAAAUGCGUAGAUAUCGAGAGGAACACCUGCGGCGAAGGCGGGUUGCUGGGCCGACACUGACGCUGAUGCGCGAAAGCCAGGGGAGCGAACGGG
This 253-nucleotide ribosomal RNA is filed under the name uncultured bacterium. RNAcentral describes it as "partial 16S ribosomal RNA". It matches the Rfam family "Bacterial small subunit ribosomal RNA", at positions 524 to 776 of the family's 1533-position model. The record is from RNAcentral.